GGCUCUGUGGCGCAAUGGAUAGCGCAUUGGACUUCUAGACAAACAAAGACAUUCAAAGGUUGUGGGUUCGAGUCCCACCAGAGUCG
RNAcentral lists this transfer RNA (86 nucleotides) under Heterocephalus glaber (naked mole-rat). It matches the Rfam family "tRNA". From Rfam's summary of the family: Transfer RNA (tRNA) molecules are approximately 80 nucleotides in length. Their secondary structure includes four short double-helical elements and three loops (D, anti-codon, and T loops). Lineage: Eukaryota; Metazoa; Chordata; Mammalia; Rodentia; Bathyergidae. The record is from Rfam by way of RNAcentral.